ACACCAUGUCCGCCAUGGUGUGCUGUGCUGCAUGGGGAUGCUCUGAUCGAUCAGAGAGAGGACGGCGAAUGGAUGGUUUCCCCCUCUACCUUUGCCAUCAAUUUAGAAAUCACCUGGGCUGAAACAUUAUAUAGACAGGCUCUGGACCAAGCAAGACUUAACAAGUUCAUUAAGUUAUGAGUUUUUACAACUGGAAGGGUGUGCAAACUUUUUUCUCUUUUUUUUUUGCAUGCAACAGUUCCUGUUUGUUUUCUUCUCUUUUUUUUUUCCAGUUCAUCAAAUAUAAAGUUUUUUUUCUUCAGUGGUUAUGUUGACUUCUUUUCACUUCAUUUUAUAAUUAAAAAAAAAAAAUCACCUAUUUGUCUGGGGUGCUGAAACUUUUGUAUACAAGUGUAUAUUAUGUUACAAUGUUAGUUUAUUGGAUAUACAUAGAAUGUGUUGAAAUAGUGAAAUAAUGUGUUAAAUAAACUCUCCAAACUUUUA
Ictalurus furcatus (blue catfish) is the source of this 483-nucleotide long non-coding RNA. RefSeq lists it as uncharacterized. NCBI's taxonomy places the organism in Eukaryota, Metazoa, Chordata, Actinopteri, Siluriformes, Ictaluridae. The transcript is spliced from 2 exons. The record is from RefSeq and is a predicted model, not a curated record.